CCUACGGGAGGCAGCAGUCGAGAAUCAUUCACAAUGGGGGAAACCCUGAUGGUGCGACGCCGCGUGGGGGAAUGAAGGUCUUCGGAUUGUAAACCCCUGUCAUGUGUGAGCAAAUUAAAAAGAUAGUACCACAAGAGGAAGAGACGGAUAACUCUGUGCCAGGAGCCGCUGUAAUACAGACGUCUCAAGCUUUGGUCGGAAUCACUGGGCGUAAAGCGUGCGUAGGCUGUUUCGUAAGUCGUGUGUGAAAGGCGCGGGCUCAACCCGCGGACGGCACAUGAUACUGCGAGACUAGAGUAAUGGAGGGGGAACCGGAAUGCUCGGUGUAGCAGUGAAAGGCGUAGAUAUCGAGAGGAACACUCGUGGGGAAGGCGGGUUCCUGGACAUUAACUGACGCUGAGGCACGAAGGCCAGGGGAGCGAAAGGGAUUAGAUACCCCGGUAGUC
This 446-nucleotide ribosomal RNA is filed under the name uncultured bacterium. RNAcentral's name for it is "partial 16S ribosomal RNA". It matches the Rfam family "Bacterial small subunit ribosomal RNA", at positions 338 to 795 of the family's 1533-position model. The record is from RNAcentral.